This is a long non-coding RNA of Labeo rohita (rohu), 1972 nucleotides long. RefSeq lists it as uncharacterized. The record is from RefSeq and is a predicted model, not a curated record. Lineage: Eukaryota; Metazoa; Chordata; Actinopteri; Cypriniformes; Cyprinidae. The transcript is spliced from 3 exons.
ACUGCUGACUGUUCGAAAACUCACUUGAAUACUUUGUGGAGCUGUAUUUAGCUUCGAUUACAAUGUGAAUGCAUUGUUUCACUCCAGCACAUCCCAAAGACUUUCAAUGGAGUUAAAGUCAGGAAUGAUUCCCUGAACAACUCUUUGACCGUCUGAGCUGAUGAAUCCUGGAAUACGGCCUCGUACAUGGUUGUUUGAGAAGUGAAAAGUCGCACGCUGCUUCAAAUAGCCUCGUUUCCAGACACGUUACAAACGUAUUAAUCACUGCGAAUCAUGAUCUAAUCCCAGCUUCUGAAGUAUUUGCUCAUUAAAAUCCAAACAGCAGUGUAUUGCAGGUGAAUCUGUGAGUGUCGUAAUGUGUACGACUGUCGUUUGGCACGCAAAACUCGACCCUGUCGCCCUCUGGGCAGCUGCACGACAACGGCAAAACAGCUUUUCCGCCGUUUUCCCAUCAGCCGCGGUUUGAUUUAUGACUCCGGCGCAGGAAUUUCUCUCAAAUACCUCCAGGAUGUUCUGAAGUUUUACGGACUCUUUCUGUUCACAGAUGGCCUGUGAUCCUGUCGUGAGUGGCUUUGUUUUCUCUUUCUACUAGAGAGAAGGCAGAAACUGAACUGGGACUGACUUGAACUGUAACAACAACAACAACAACAACAACAACCAGCACAAACACGUAAAAAAGUGUGAUGAUGCAUUCAAAACACAAACUUUAAUCGCUGCAUCAUUUCAAAGUCAAAUGGAUAUUCUCCCGUAAACAACAGCAGAUCUGAAGUCUGGUCUCACUUCAGACAGACAGCAACACACUCAAGCUUCAUUUGAAAGCCUUUCUUAUCUACGAGAUGAAUGAUAUCAAAUGGCCCGAGGUGACGUGAACGUAUUAACGGAGAGCGUCUGACAGCCGGUCCGUGUGCGCGGAGGGAAGACAGUUGUCCAGGAUUCCCAGAGCAGCGGGGUAAAUCCCAGUCCUGGACAGAUUCCCAGGCGUUGCGUGCAGAAGGGCGGAUCCAGCGGCCCUGCUGCUGCCCAUCGACAUGCAAACAUGUCCAAUAGAAGCCGCAAACCCCCCCUUCACUUCUACGGCACAGCUGGAGGAUCAGAUGUUUACACUGAAGACAGAAGCUGAACUCUGAGAGGCUGUGAAACGUCAGAGCCACGAAUGAACACAGACGCACCGUUCUCUGUGACCAGCACAACAACACGGCCCGUUUCAGCCACAACAUGAACGAACACCAAUUCCCUUUCACAUUUGACUUUUUCACGUCUGGCGUCAGUGUUCAUCAUCUCGUGUGCGGUACAACCGCUGGACAACAAAAUUACAGUCAGUCGUGAAACACUCGAUACGUUCGCAGACUGCGAUGGAAAGCAGCUGUGAAAACAGCAGUAUGCAGCACGGCUCAGAAGAAAUUCCUAAAUAGUCUGAAUUUAUAAACUGCGGCUGAGGAAUGAGCUGGAACAUGUGGCCUCCACGCAAAACAAACCGUGGCACGCAAUCCUCCGACGGACGGCCCCGCUCCGCCAACACACCAUUACUUCAGAGCGCUUUCCUGCUCCUGCGACCCAAAUAGCGCUAAUUCAGCGCAGUCUGCGAGAUACUAACCCUGCGUGUGUUAGAAGUAUUCAACUGUUUGCCUUCAGUCUCAUGUAAAGCAACCACAAAUGAGACCACAAACCCUGUAAUAAAUAAUUCUAGAUAAAAGCAUCUCAAAACACACUUCUCCGAUCAAUUUCUAUGUUCUAUUUAAGUCUACUUCUAUUGAAGUUACAUGAUUUUUAAAGCCUUUCUACUAUGACAUUUAAAUUAAUUUUUGACUGUUACUUUGGCUGUUUUUGCUCUGCCAAUAAAAAUAGAUCAAAACACACAAACAGACACAGCAGAAUGAAGCACUGUGUCUCACUGUUCUGAAUGAAUCUGUUGUUUUGAAUGAACUGUCUGAAUGAAUGAUUCAGUUCUAAAGACGAACUGCUGUAUAAAACC